ACAUUCUUUCUGGAGGCUCUGGGGUAGAAUGUGUUUUCUUGUCUGUUCCAGUUUCCAGGGGAGGCCUGUACUCCUUGGCUCAUAAUAUCAUCGUAUCUCCUUCAUCCCCUCGUGUCGGUUUGCAAACUGACUCCCAUACAUGGAAGGCAAGGACAGAUGGAAGAAAGAGGCGGACCAGUCCAGAUUGCCAGUUCUCCAUAGCAGCCGAUCGUCCAUGUAAUGACGAAAAGAUCCAGGCUGCUUCAAUCCUGUGGCUCAGCCAUCUCAACCCAUUGCCUCUACUGUAGACGAUGAAAGAGAGAGAGUUGAAAAAAUCAUGCAACUGUUCAUCACCCCCACUCAGAAGAACAUACGUGACUCUUGGCCAUAUGUCUUCCCCCAAUUGUAAGAAGCUGGGAAGAGCACUUUUCAGUGGUCCUCGGAGGAGACUUCAUGCUGAAAAACACUGGUGUUGUGGACUAUAACCCAACAGUAUCUACUUAUCUCUGACCUCAAGGUUCAAGCCCUGCAUCAUGAAGCGCAAACAUACGCAGCCAGGAUGUGGCCAUUCUGCCCACAGCCUUUGUCUGAUUCCUCCUUAUGGGUGUCACAAGAUGUAUCCAUCCCCCCAGCACCUAUUAAUAGUGCAUUGGGUCCCAUCGGGCUCCACCCCAGCACCUAUUAAUAGUGCAUUGGGUCCCAUCGGGCCCUGCCUCUGCUCCUCCAGUUAUGAGUGUCUAAAUCCUGUGACUGCUGUUUCAUUGUCUGAACUUUUGAUUAGACUCUGAGAGUUGCCAAAAAAGUCCUCGACUUCAGGACCAUUUUCC
RNAcentral lists this long non-coding RNA (806 nucleotides) under Vulpes vulpes (red fox). RNAcentral describes it as "lncRNA (ENSVVUG00000030051.1)". The record is from RNAcentral. Lineage: Eukaryota; Metazoa; Chordata; Mammalia; Carnivora; Canidae.